CGUUUUUCAGCUAAAGUUAAACAUAAUACUGCCCCCUGCUGUACCGGAGGACACUUUACCACUGUACACUUUCUUUUUUAAUUAGGCCUAUUUUAUUUUUGAAAGGUUAAAAAUACGGGAUAAUUACGGGAACAUAUUUAAACGGGAUAAUCGCGGGAAAAACGGGAGGGUUGACAGGUAUGUGCUACACUCGUCAGUUGACGUAGAGUUGGCUAGCUAACAAGCUAAUUUACGUCAACUGUCAAUGGCGCCACUUGAAGCCAGAUGCUGUUAUCGUCUUCCCAAAAUAUGUAUUAAGAUGCCAACUGCUUCUCAACACCAAGUGAACUGCCAUUUGGAGAAGAAGACAAGAAAGGAAGAACCCCCCCCCCCCCCCCCCACUCAACUGAAGAUAUUGUAAGUGCUCAUUGAAUCUAUUAUGUAACCCAUUUACAGCAUGCUACACAAUCCUAAGUUCCAAAUCCCCCCCCCCCCCCCCAAUUGUGU
This 486-nucleotide long non-coding RNA is filed under the name Cottoperca gobio. RNAcentral's name for it is "lncRNA (ENSCGOG00000005899.1)". The record is from RNAcentral. Lineage: Eukaryota; Metazoa; Chordata; Actinopteri; Perciformes; Bovichtidae.